Long non-coding RNA from Plutella xylostella (diamondback moth), 886 nucleotides. RefSeq lists it as uncharacterized. NCBI's taxonomy places the organism in Eukaryota, Metazoa, Arthropoda, Insecta, Lepidoptera, Plutellidae. The record is from RefSeq and is a predicted model, not a curated record.
UUAACCCUUAAUCAAAUAUAGGGAAAUUAUUUCCCACUUGGUCUGAAUCGAAAAAAAUAUUUUUAUUUUUUUACUGGUUACUCUGAUCAAUAUCAACAUUAGAAACAAAAUAAUCUUGAUUAAGUUUUAGAUUUUAUUAAUGCUAACACUUUAAAAAAAACCGCAAGCUGUCAUCGUACGUCAAUCUCAAAAUCAAGAUUUAAAUUUUUCUGUGUCAAAAACCGGUUCUCGUGACGAUAUUUCAAAAUUUUUGGAGAAAAAAAUCUGCUAAGUACCUAACCACAAUACUAUUGUAAACUUAAAUUGUUUUACAAAUGGAUUUUAUGGUGAUUGGCACGCAUUUUGAAACAAUUAUUAAAAAGAAACGUAAUAUCGCUUACUACGAAGAAUUUAGAAGAGACUGUCGAAAACAUAGCUGACAUUUCUGAUUUAUUAGACACAGAUUCGGAAGACGACUCAUGCUAUGUCAACAGUAUUAAUUCUCCUUCCGAUAGUUACCUCAAACAACUUAACGACUGCAUAUUUCCUUAUUAAAAUAUUGUUCUAAAUACUAUUGUAUCAUUUUAUAGUUUUUUUUUCUAAAACAAAAAAAUAUUUAUAAAAAAACAAGCAAACUAGCGGCAACUAGCUUGUAUAGAAACUGUAGUAAAUAUUAAUUAAAAUUUGUGAUCUGUACCGGAUAGUGGGAAAUAGUUUCCCACUUGAUAUUAUUUUGCUUAGCAAUCACGAAUAGUGGGAAAUUAUUUCCCAUAGCAAAACCCCCCUUUCCCUCCACUAAAAAAAAUUUAAAACAUUUUUUUCGUAAUCUACGGACCCAACUUACCUAAAAACCAUACAUGGUUUACAUUUUUAUCAAAAAAAAUCAUCCAUUUGAUUAAGGGUUAAA